UACUUGUCAACUCCAUCGAAAUCCUUCAUUUCUUGUGGCACCGUCUAAAAUUUGCUUCGAUUGAAGAAAUUUUGACGCCCAUGACAGCGUUGAAAUUUCUUCAAUGCAAACAAAUUUUUUAUCUUCCUUUCAUCGAGGAUUUUCAUACCAUGUGAAGGAGAGAUCAGUUCCAUCAGUUCCAAGUCGUUCGGGUGUUUGGUUAGUUAGGCCUAAGAAGUAAGGGCUAGUGAAAGAGAAGCAUUUGAUUGUCCUACAAGUAUCUGAAUCGCCAAUGAAAGCAGAGGUUAUUUCCUCUGAAUUUCCACGAAUUGUUCAGGCUUCAGAGAAUGAAUCUCCUUUUUAAGGGUUCGUUGGGGAGCGAAGUGACCAUAUGGCAUCCCUUUCUACACCUGCUCAGUCUCUCUCUUGCCUUUUUCAUACUACAUAUUUUUGUUUCUCAAUUUAGUGUCAGUGUCAACCAUGUCUAUGCUUUGGCCAUUCUCAUUUCCACUUUCCACUACUCUAAAAAUGUAUCUGCAAUUGAUCUUAUAUUUGUGUAUCUCUCUGUGCAACUUUAAUAUGAAGUUAUUAAGGAAGAAGAGAAAGGAGGAAGAAGGGAGAGAGAAAAGGUAGAAACGACCUAAUAGUAGGCAUGAGUAUUAAGAUGCAGCAGAGCCACCACUUAGUGGCGCUAAGGUUUAAUGAGCAAAUUGACAGUAGAAAAGGGUCCACAUCCAUACCUAAGUUACUAUUGCUCUGGGUUCUGUUGGUGGCAUUCAUUAGUAUGUUAAACUACAAAGAAAUGGGUGGUGUUAACAAAGUUAGAAGAAAGUAAGUUCUGGGAAGUAUGUGUGACCAGACGACAAAGAUGCUUCUGCCUCAACUUAGUGUCAGUGUCAAACUAUGUCCAGGCUUUGGCCAUUCUCAUUUACACUUUCCAGUACUUCAAAAUCGUAUCAGCAAUUGAUCAGGAAAAUGUGUUUCGAUUUCUGUCUUUUAUUAGUCUCGGUUAGUUAGGCUUAAGAGUAAGGGAUAUAAUUCAUUUUUCUUGUUUCAGCUAGAAAUUACGUCGAUGUCUUGAUUUUUAGUUUUUUUAGGGCUGUUUGGUUGUUUUUUCAGGGGUGUUUGGUUAGUUAGGCCUAAGAAGUAAGGGCUAGUGAAAGAGAAGCAUUUGAUUGUCCUACAAGUAUCUGAAUCGCCAAUGAAAGCAGAGGUUAUUUCCUCUGAAUUUCCACGAAUUCUUCAGGCUUCAGAGAAUGAAUCUCCUUUCUAAGGGUUCGUUGGGGAGCGAAGUGACCAUAUGGCAUCCCUUUCUGCACCUGCUCAGUCUCUCUCUUGCCUUUUUCAUACUACAUAUUUUUGUUUCUCAAUUUAGUGUCAGUGUCAACCAUGUCUAUGCUUUGGCCAUUCUCAUUUCCACUUUCCACUACUCUAAAAAUGUAUCUGCAAUUGAUCAGGUGAAUCUAUAGUUAUAACAUAGUAAGAAGAAUGGAAGUUCUUGGGGAGUUUGUGUGACAAGAGGGCAAGGAUGCUUCUGCAUUAAUUUAGUAUCAGUGUCAACCAUGUUUAUGCUUUGGCCAUUCUCAUUUCCACUUUCCACUACUCCAAAAAUGUAUUAUCUGCAAUUGAUCAGGAAACUUUUGCUGGUACACGAUUCAAACAGCUUUCCAUGUCAGUGCAGCACCACAUGCUAAUUUAGGUGUGAAAUGCUAAUUUAGAUGUGAAACACUUCCAAAGAUGACGAGAAAUCAAAGAUUGUCGUAGUAAAAAACCUCACCAGUUUUUCCUUUCAGGUUUUUCUUUUCUUUUUCUUUAAUAGUUUGGAAUUUUGCUGGUGUGAUUUCUGCUUUUCUCUUAUCAUUUAUUUUGAUUUUGGAGAGCAACUUUGGUAAUGUUAAUAAUUUUUCUCCAUUUCUGCGUUGAGCAAUGUUUAGCUGAUAUGUUUGUGUAUUCUUUACAUUAGUGCAGCACCACAUGCUAAUUUAGGUGUGAAAUGCUAAUUUAGAUGUGAAACACUUCCAAAGAUGACGAGAAAUCAAAGAUUGUCGUAGUAAAAAACCUCACCAGUUUUUCCUUUCAGUGCAGCACCACAUGCUAAUUUAGGUGUGAAAUGCUAAUUUAGAUGUGAAACACUUCCAAAGAUGACGAGAAAUCAAAGAUUGUCGUAGUAAAAAACCUCACCAGUUUUUCCUUUCAGGGGUGUUUUGGUUAGUUAGGCUUAAGAAGCAAGGGCUAGUGAAAGAGAAGCAUUUGAUUGUCCUACAAGUAAUAAGCUUCUCCUCAAUCAUUCAACCAUUUUUUUAGUAAAGAAAGAGGCUUCUCCUCUGGCAACCAAAGUCCGUCCCUCGUUAACAGGUAUAAGUUGAAUGGAAGAGUUUUUUAGCCUUGAUAGAUCUUGAGUACCUGAAUCGCCGAUGAAACAGAGGUUAUUUUCUCGGAAAUUCCACGAAUUGUUCAGGCUUAGAGGUGCAAGGACUUGUGAAAGAGAAGCAUUUGAUUGACCAACGAGUAAUUAGUUUCUCCUCAAGCAUCCCACCACUUUUCUAUUAAAGAAAUACAGGUACGUCUACGCUAUUACUUUUCAUGUCCUUUUACUUAAGAUAUUUAUAUAAAUAUAUAUAAAAAUAAAUAAGAUCCAUCUUUGGUAAUUUUUUUUAAAAUCAAAUCUGUGGAUAUUCAUUUCAUCUCUAAAGUUUUGCGUUUUGUUACUUUUUAAAAUUCCCUCCAUGUCACUAUUACACUCCUAUAUUUGUGUUGUAAUUAUGAUGUCCUUUUUCUAUGGUCUGUUAAAGUUAAUUUAAAUCCUUUUUUGCUCUUGGUUUAUGUUGAAGAAAUGGAAGAUUUUUUUAGCCUUAAUAGAUCUGGAGUACCUUAAUCGCUCUUGCAUUUUGUGAUUCUGUUCUUUUUCUAUUUUGAAGAGUGUCCUGAGUAAUUUUUAGGAUUUUUAUUUUAUAGUUUUUGUCGCUUGCAUUUAAACACAGACUUGGUUGUUGAACUGGGGUUCUUGAAUAAUUGUUGGUUUUGUUUUCUGAAGAAGUGAUCUUAUAUUUGUGUAUCUCUAUGUGCAACUUUAAUAUGGGGUUAUUAAGGAUGGAGAUAAAGGAGGAAGAAUGGAGAGAGAAAAGGCAGAAAUGACUUAAUUGUUGGGAUGAGUAUGACCCCAUGUCUAGUAGUUCCCAAGUAUGAUAUAGGAAGGCAUAGAGUCAAGGCCUUGUCUGACUCUAAUAGAAGUAAGUAGCUAACGCAACGCAAUAUUCUUUGCACCUUCAGUCUGUGAAUUUGAGGUGUAAGAGUUUGGCCAGAGGAGCUAGUCUCGUAACUGCGGGCGCAGUUCUAGUUCUUUACAAGACAGAUGGGAACGGUAGCUAACAAGUGUGCCCUGAGUGGAAUCCUACCACUACUCUUUCUACUAUAUUGGCAGGACGGGUGCCAAGUUAUUAGUAGCUAGGCAGCUAAGCCAGUAGUAGUUCAGUUCAGGCGCUGUUCUCAAAUCUAGUUGACUACGUUGUAGCGUAGCGGUACGGGACAGGAAAAGAAUUGAUAGCGGUACACUGAACACAAAGAAAUUUGAUAGACAUAUGUUGAGAGUUCGACAAGUAGCACUGAAUCUACUAUCAGUAGUGAUUUAUAGAAGUUGACUCGCUUAAACGAAGAGAGUGAACAAAGCAUAGCGGAGUGAAGAGAGAAAUGGUUUCAUUAGAUAGCUCUCUCGAUGUCCUUGUUAUCUUUCCUAGGUAGAUUGUGACUUAUUCAUUCUUUCUCGCUGACUCUGGUUUCCCCGCCGUGGAUCCUUUCUCGGUUAGGGCCUCCCCUAUCCUUAUUCAUUGAUCGCUCUCUUUGCCGCGAAUCUCGGCAUGGUGGUCCUUCGCCUCGCAAUAUUCUUUGCUCCUCCUUCCUGGGCUUGAUGGGUACAUCAAGCAUAUCGGCAUCUUGCUUCUUUGGUGUGGUACACAUAUCUAUCAAUGAAAAGAAAGUAAUAGAAUUCAUUCCCGCAUACUCGCAUAUUGAAUUGCGCCUUCAGACCAUCAAAGAAAGGUCCAGGGUCUGGAGUCCGCAGGAUUUAUCCGGAGUCCGAAGGAUUUAUCCGUAGGACCAUCCAUAUGGAGGGAAGUAGUCCGGAGGAUUUAUUCGUAGGACCAUCCGUAAUU
Cucumis sativus (cucumber) is the source of this 4127-nucleotide long non-coding RNA. RefSeq lists it as uncharacterized. The record is from RefSeq and is a predicted model, not a curated record. Lineage: Eukaryota; Viridiplantae; Streptophyta; Magnoliopsida; Cucurbitales; Cucurbitaceae. The transcript is spliced from 11 exons.